AUUGAACGCUGGCGGCAUGCUUUACACAUGCAAGUCGAACGGUAACAGGCCGCAAGGUGCUGACGAGUGGCGAACGGGUGAGUAAUGCAUCGGAACGUGCCCAGUCGUGGGGGAUAACUACUCGAAAGAGUAGCUAAUACCGCAUACGAUCUAUGGAUGAAAGCGGGGGACCGUAAGGCCUCGCGCGAUUGGAGCGGCCGAUGUCAGAUUAGGUAGUUGGUGGGGUAAAGGCUCACCAAGCCAACGAUCUGUAGCUGGUCUGAGAGGACAACCAGCCACACUGGGACUGAGACACGGCCCAGACUCCUACGGGAGGCAGCAGUGGGGAAUUUUGGACAAUGGGCGCAAGCCUGAUCCAGCAAUGCCGCGUGCAGGAAGAAGGCCUUCGGGUUGUAAACUGCUUUUGUACGGAACGAAACGGCUCUGGUUAAUACCCGGGGCUAAUGACGGUACCGCAAGAAUAAGCACCGGCUAACUACGUG
RNAcentral lists this ribosomal RNA (482 nucleotides) under uncultured bacterium. RNAcentral describes it as "partial 16S ribosomal RNA". It matches the Rfam family "Bacterial small subunit ribosomal RNA", at positions 30 to 507 of the family's 1533-position model. The record is from RNAcentral.